GCUCUCUUAGCUCAGUGGAUUAGAGCACUUGACUACGGAUCAAGGUGUCCUAGGUUCGAAUCCUAGAGAGAGCG
RNAcentral lists this transfer RNA (74 nucleotides) under Synechococcus phage S-CREM1. It matches the Rfam family "tRNA". Rfam says of the family: Transfer RNA (tRNA) molecules are approximately 80 nucleotides in length. The record is from Rfam by way of RNAcentral. Lineage: Duplodnaviria; Heunggongvirae; Uroviricota; Caudoviricetes; Pantevenvirales; Kyanoviridae.